AACGCACAUUGCGCCCUCUGGUAUUCCGGAGGGCACGCCUGUCCGAGCGCCAUUUCAGACCUCAAGCCCUAGGCUUGUUGUUGGGCACCGCCCGCGAGGGCGCGCCUCGAAUCCGUCGGCGUCGCCGCCAGGCCCCCAGCGCACCGAGCGUAACAGCCCGCGCACGGAGGGUCCCUGGCGAGGUGGCCGCCUAGUAAAACGCGCAAGCAGCACCGAACGGCCUCGGAUCAGGCGGGGUUACCCGCUGAACUUAA
RNAcentral lists this unclassified non-coding RNA (254 nucleotides) under uncultured fungus. RNAcentral describes it as "partial contains 5.8S ribosomal RNA, internal transcribed spacer 2, and large subunit ribosomal RNA". Lineage: Eukaryota; Fungi. The record is from RNAcentral.